GCGACAUUAGCUCCGUUGGUAGAGCGAUCCCUUGCCAAGGUAUAGGUCAUCGGUUCGAACCCGAUAUGUCGCUCCA
This 76-nucleotide transfer RNA is filed under the name Shewanella hanedai. RNAcentral's name for it is "tRNA-Gly". It matches the Rfam family "tRNA". From Rfam's summary of the family: Transfer RNA (tRNA) molecules are approximately 80 nucleotides in length. The record is from RNAcentral. Lineage: Bacteria; Pseudomonadati; Pseudomonadota; Gammaproteobacteria; Alteromonadales; Shewanellaceae.